AUCAGUGAAACUGAUCUCCCCGUGAAGAAGCGGGGAUACAAAUAUAAGACGAGAAGACCCCAUGGAGCUUUAAACCCAACAGCACCCGUUUAUUUUCAUCCUCACAUAAGUUAGGCUAUGCCUGUUUGGUUUUAGGUUGGGGUGACCACGGAGUAUAAAACAACCUCCAUGAAAAAAGGACCAAAAAUCCUUAUUAGAGAAAGACAUUUCUAAAAUUAAUAAAUUAAUUUUUAAUGAUCCGAUAUUCGAUCAACGAACCAAGUUACCCUGGGGAUAACAGCGCAAUCCACUUCAAGAGCUCCUAUCGACAAGUGGGUUUACGACCUCGAUGUUGGAUCAGGGUAUCCUAGUGGUGCAGCAGCUACUAACGGUUCGUUUGUUCAACGAUUAAAACCCU
RNAcentral lists this ribosomal RNA (397 nucleotides) under Boophis elenae. Its description in RNAcentral is "partial 16S ribosomal RNA". It matches the Rfam family "Bacterial large subunit ribosomal RNA", at positions 2032 to 2597 of the family's 2925-position model. Lineage: Eukaryota; Metazoa; Chordata; Amphibia; Anura; Mantellidae. The record is from RNAcentral.